Molecule: ribosomal RNA, 468 nt
Filed under: uncultured bacterium
Lineage: Bacteria
Description: partial 16S ribosomal RNA
Rfam family: Bacterial small subunit ribosomal RNA
Source: RNAcentral
GACGAACGCUGGCGGCGUGCUUAACACAUGCAAGUCGAACGGAAAGGCCCUGCUUUUGUGGGGUGCUCGAGUGGCGAACGGGUGAGUAACACGUGAGUAACCUGCCCUUUACUUUGGGAUAACUUCAGGAAACUGGGGCUAAUACCGGAUAGUAGCUCCUGCUGCAUGGUGGGGGUUGGAAAGUUUCGGCGGUUGGGGAUGGACUCGCGGCUUAUCAGCUUGUUGGUGGGGUAGUGGCUUACCAAGGCUUUGACGGGUAGCCGGCCUGAGAGGGUGACCGGCCACAUUGGGACUGAGAUACGGCCCAGACUCCUACGGGAGGCAGCAGUGGGGAAUAUUGCACAAUGGGCGGAAGCCUGAUGCAGGAACGCCGCGUGCGGGAUGACGGCCUUCGGGUUGUAAACCGCUUUCGCCUGUGACGAAGCGUGAGUGACGGUAAUGGGUAAAGAAGCACCGGCUAACUACGUG